CCAGGGAAACUUGGUCUAAGUAUCCCCAUAGUAUUUAGUAGGUGGCAUCAACCCUAAAUUAAAAGCCUUUCGGUGGUAAUAGGGAAUUUGGCCUACGCGUGACAUUAGGCUGGAUGGUGGGGUAACGGCUUCACCAUGGCGACUGAUGUCUAGGGGUUCUGAGAGGAAGACCCCCCACACUGGGACUGAGACACGGCCCAGACUCCUACGGGAGGCAGCAGUGAGGAUAUUGGACAAUGGAUGGAAAUCUGAUCCAGCCCAUGCCGCGUGCAGGAAGACGGCCCUAUGGGUUGUAAACUGCUUUUAUAUGGGAGCAAUAAGGUUUACGCGUAGACCGAUGAGAGUACCAUAUGAAUAAGCAUCGGCUAACUCCGUG
RNAcentral lists this ribosomal RNA (376 nucleotides) under uncultured bacterium. Its description in RNAcentral is "bacterial SSU rRNA". It matches the Rfam family "Bacterial small subunit ribosomal RNA", at positions 148 to 507 of the family's 1533-position model. The record is from RNAcentral.